RNAcentral lists this ribosomal RNA (1076 nucleotides) under uncultured Cystobacter sp. Its description in RNAcentral is "bacterial SSU rRNA". It matches the Rfam family "Bacterial small subunit ribosomal RNA", at positions 335 to 1404 of the family's 1533-position model. Lineage: Bacteria; Pseudomonadati; Myxococcota; Myxococcia; Myxococcales; Archangiaceae. The record is from RNAcentral.
AUUCCUACGGGAGGCAGCAGUGGGGAAUUUUCCACAAUGGGCGAAAGCCUGAUGGAGCAACGCCGCGUGUGUGAUGAAGGUUUUCGGAUCGUAAAGCACUUUCGACUGGGACGAAAAACCUUUGGCUAACAUCCAGGGGCCUGACGGUACCAGGAGAAGAAGCACCGGCUAACUCUGUGCCAGCAGCCGCGGUAAUACAGAGGGUGCAAGCGUUGUUCGGAAUUAUUGGGCGUAAAGCGCGUGUAGGCGGCUUUGCAAGUCAGAUGUGAAAGCCCUCGGCUUAACCGAGGAAGUGCGUCUGAAACUGCAGAGCUUGAGUGUCGGAGAGGAUGGCGGAAUUCCGCAAGUAGAGGUGAAAUUCGUAGAUAUGCGGAGGAACACCGGUGGCGAAGGCGGCCAUCUGGACGACGACUGACGCUGAGACGCGAAAGCGUGGGGAGCAAACAGGAUUAGAUACCCUGGUAGUCCACGCCGUAAACGAUGUCGACUAGCCGUUGGGAUCCUUGAGAUCUUAGUGGCGCAGCUAACGCGAUAAGUCGACCGCCUGGGGAGUACGGCCGCAAGGUUAAAACUCAAAUGAAUUGACGGGGGCCCGCACAAGCAGCGGAGCGUGUGGUUUAAUUCGAGGCAACGCGAAGAACCUUACCUGGGCUUGACAUCUACGGAACCUCCUGGAAACAGGAGGGUGCCUUCGGGAACCGUAAGACAGGUGCUGCAUGGCUGUCGUCAGCUCGUGUCGUGAGGUGUUGGGUUAAGUCCCGCAACGAGCGCAACCCCUGUCCUUAGUUGCCAGCGGGUCAUGCCGGGCACUCUAGGGAGACUGCCGGUGUCAAGCCGGAGGAAGGUGGGGAUGACGUCAAGUCCUCAUGGCCUUUAUGCCCAGGGCUACUCACGUGCUACAAUGGCCGGUACAAAGGGUCGCGAUCCCGCGAGGGCGAGCAAAUCCCAAAAAACCGGCCUCAGUUCAGAUUGGGGUCUGCAACUCGACCCCAUGAAGGCGGAAUCGCUAGUAAUCCCGGAUCAGCACGCCGGGGUGAAUACGUUCCCGGGCCUUGUACACACCGCCAUCCAUAUGA